RNAcentral lists this ribosomal RNA (1378 nucleotides) under uncultured Bacteroidota bacterium. RNAcentral describes it as "uncultured Bacteroidetes bacterium 16S ribosomal RNA". It matches the Rfam family "Bacterial small subunit ribosomal RNA". Lineage: Bacteria; Pseudomonadati; Bacteroidota. The record is from RNAcentral.
AUACAUGCAGUCGAACGAGGUUUAGUAGCAAUACUAAACUUAGUGGCGCACGGGUGCGUAACGCGUAUGCAACCUACCUUCAACUGGGGGAUAGCCCCUCGAAAGAGGGAUUAAUACCCCAUAGUAAUUAGAUAAGGCAUCUUAUUUAGUUUAAAGUUCCGGCGGUUGAAGAUGGGCAUGCGUGACAUUAGCUAGUUGGUGAGGUAACUGCUCACCAAGGCUACGAUGUCUAGGGGCUCUGAGAGGAUGAUCCCCCACACUGGUACUGAGACAGGNNNNNNNNNNUACGGGAGGCAGCAGUAAGGAAUAUUGGUCAAUGGACGCAAGUCUGAACCAGCCAUGCCGCGUGAAGGAUGAAUGCCCUAUGGGUUGUAAACUUCUUUUGUACGGGAAUAAACCCAGGUACGUGUACCUGGCUGAAUGUACCGUAAGAAUAAGGAUCGGCUAACUCCGUGCCAGCAGCCGCGGUAAUACGGAGGAUCCAAGCGUUAUCCGGAUUCAUUGGGUUUAAAGGGUGCGUAGGCGGAUUUGUAAGUCAGUGGUGAAAGCCUGCAGCUCAACUGCAGAACUGCCAUUGAUACUGCAAGUCUUGAGUACACUUGACGUGGGCGGAAUGUGUCAUGUAGCGGUGAAAUGCUUAGAUAUGACACAGAACACCGAUUGCGAAGGCAGCUCACGAAAUUGUAACUGACGCUGAGGCACGACAGCGUGGGGAUCAAACAGGAUUAGAUACCCUGGUAGUCCACGCCGUAAACUAUGAAUACUCGAUGUUGGCGAUAUACUGUCAGCGUCUAAGCUAAAGCAUUAAGUAUUCCACCUGGGGAGUACGGUCGCAAGAUUGAAACUCAAAGGAAUUGACGGGGGCCCGCACAAGCGGAGGAGCAUGUGGUUUAAUUCGAUGAUACGCGUGGAACCUUACCAGGGCUUGAAAGUUAGUGACCGCUGCCGAAAGGUAGCUUUCCUUCGGGACACGAAACUAGGUGCUGCAUGGCUGUCGUCAGCUCGUGCCGUGAGGUGUUGGGUUAAGUCCCGCAACGAGCGCAACCCCUAUCUUUAGUUGCCAGCGAGUAAUGUCGGGGACUCCAAAGAAACUGCCCGCGUAAGCGUGGAGGAAGGUGGGGAUGACGUCAAGUCAGCACGGCCCUUACGUCCUGGGCUACACACGUGCUACAAUGGGUGAGACAGAGGGCUGCUACAUAGUAAUAUGAUGCUAAUCUCGAAACUCGCUCUCAGUUCGGAUUGAGGUCUGCAACUCGACCUCAUGAAGCUGGAUUCGCUAGUAAUCGCGUAUCAGCAAUGACGCGGUGAAUACGUUCCCGGGCCUUGUACACACCGCCCGUCAAACAAUGGAAGUUGGGGGUACCUAAAGUCAAUAGCC